Molecule: long non-coding RNA, 300 nt
Organism: Talpa occidentalis (Iberian mole)
Lineage: Eukaryota; Metazoa; Chordata; Mammalia; Eulipotyphla; Talpidae
Exons: 3
Source: RefSeq, a predicted model, not a curated record
GCCACUGGGAGGUUUUGAAUCCUUCUGGUUAUUUUAUGUGGAAUGAAGUGGGCUGGAGAGCUUAGAAUGGAAGAAGAAGAGACUAGUGGGAUGACUAUUGCAACAGUUCAGAUAAAUUCAGAGACCGUGAGUUUGAAUGGGACUUUCAAGCAGGAAAUGAAAUGUAUGAUGUUACUUGAGACCUUCCGAUACUUAAAUUCUGCAAAAUAAGGGUCUUCUUUCCACUUGGUUACUGUAUGAUGACUGGAAGAAAAUUCUCAACUAUACAUUUUAACUACUAAAAAUGUUAUUCAUGUUAUU